Molecule: ribosomal RNA, 878 nt
Filed under: Hydra sinensis
Lineage: Eukaryota; Metazoa; Cnidaria; Hydrozoa; Anthoathecata; Hydridae
Description: 12S ribosomal RNA
Source: RNAcentral
UCUUUUGAUUAUGGAGAAAUAAAAAUAAGAAAAAUAUUUAUACAUGUUAGUGGAAGCAAAUAAAUGAGUAUAAUAAGAUAAUAUCUUAAAUUGUAUCAGGUUUUAAAAUUUAAUUUUUUUAAUUCCUAUGACGCACAGCUUUAGCCAUGUUUUAACUGAAACAAAGAAAAAUCUACAGCAGUAAAGAAUAUUAUACAAUUAAAUUAAUUUAGAUAUAGCUUGAUCUUAAAUUUUGUCUAAUUAAGUGCCAGCAGACGCGGUGAUACUUAAGAAGUAAAUUUUUAUUAAAAAAUAGGUUAAAAGUGUAAAGAAUAAUUUUUAUAAAAUGAUGAUUAUUGAUUUAGUAAAAUAUACAAUAAUUUUAAACUCAUUGCAAUUUUAUAAAAAAUCUAUAAACUUGAAAAAAUGAUAAUUAAACAGGAUUAGAUACCCUGGUAAUCUUUUUGUUAAUUUAAAAUCUGAACAGUAUAUCCUUAAGGAUGAAAAUCAAAUACUUUGGUUGUUUAUUUUUCUAUUUAGAGGAGUAUGUAAUUUAAUUCGAUGAUCCGCGAAAUACCUUACCUUUUUUUGAAAACACAAGUGCUGCAUGGUUGUCUUCAGUUUUAAUUUAUCAUUAAAACUUAAUCUUUUUUAAGAUAAAGUCAAAUAUUAUGGCCUUAAUAAAAAGGGAAAUUAUGUACUACAGUGAAUAUUAUAAUUUAAAUUUAUUCAUGAAUAAUAAGUGAAAUUCUUAUUUAAAAGAGAAUUUAAUAGUAAUUAAAAGUAUAAAAUUUUAAUGAAUUAGUGCAAAUAUGAAUACAAAUAGCCCGUCGCCUUGAUCAUAGUAGAUAGAGUAAGUCGUAACAUAGUGGGGGAAAGGGAACUUUUUCCUGUAAACU